GCGGUUUGUCGCGUCUGCUGUGAAACCCGGGGCUUAACCCCGUGGUGUGCAGUGGGUACGGGCAGACUAGAGUGCAGUAGGGGAGACUGGAAUUCCUGGUGUAGCGGUGAAAUGCGCAGAUAUCAGGAGGAACACCGAUGGCGAAGGCAGGUCUCUGGGCUGUUACUGACGCUGAGGAGCGAAAGCAUGGGGAGCGAACAGGAUUAGAUACCCUGGUAGUCCAUGCCGUAAACGUUGGGCACUAGGUGUGGGGGACAUUCCACGUUUUCCGCGCCGUAGCUAACGCAUUAAGUGCCCCGCCUGGGGAGUACGGCCGCAAGGCUAAAACUCAAAGGAAUUGACGGGGGCCCGCACAAGCGGCGGAGCAUGCGGAUUAAUUCGAUGCAACGCGAAGAACCUUACCAAGGCUUGACAUACACCAGACCGGCCCGGAGAUGGGUUUUCCUCUUUGAGGUUGGUGUACAGGUGGUGCAUGGUUGUCGUCAGCUCGUGUCGUGAGAUGUUGGGUUAAGUCCCGCAACGAGCGCAACCCUCGUUCUAUGUUGCCAGCACGUGAUGGUGGGGACUCAUAGGAGACUGCCGGGGUCAACUCGGAGGAAGGUGGGGAUGACGUCAAAUCAUCAUGCCUCUUAUGUCUUGGGCUUCACGCAUGCUACAAUGGCCGGUACAAUGGGUUGCGAUACCGUGAGGUGGAGCUAAUCCCAAAAAGCUGGUCUCAGUUCGGAUCGUGGUCUGCAACUCGACCACGUGAAGUC
RNAcentral lists this ribosomal RNA (755 nucleotides) under uncultured bacterium. RNAcentral's name for it is "bacterial SSU rRNA". It matches the Rfam family "Bacterial small subunit ribosomal RNA", at positions 575 to 1327 of the family's 1533-position model. The record is from RNAcentral.